GGCCAGGCUCCGGGUCCCGCUCGCGCCCCUGGCCGCGGUCCCGGCCUCGGUCUGAAGCCUUGCCGCUGCUGCGGCCCGGAUCCCGCUUUGGCUCCGGCACUGGCUUCGGCUCGUUGCCGCUGACGCCGCCGCGCGCUCGCCCCUCCAGGUCAUGCUGCCGCUCCUGCUCGCCCUCAUGCCGGCGCUUCUGCCCCCGGUCGCUAUCACGCUCCCGCUCUCGCUCCUGCUCCCGGCCGCGUGUAGACUCCUUCUCGUCAUGCUUGCGUUGCUGGUCAUGCUCGCGCUCACUGCCGCGCUCCCGCGUCUGCUCCGGCCCGGGACCGCGCUCCCGGUCCCGGCCCCUGCCGCCCUCCUUGUCCCGGUCCCGCUGCCGGUCUCGCUCGCGCCCCGGCUCCGCCGUGCGCUUUCUCUCAGGAGACCGGUCGCGGUCACGCUUGCGGUCAGCGUCACGUGGCCUUUCGCGCCCCGAGCUUCGCGCCUGCGGCUGGUCACAGUCGCUGCUGUUGCCCUGCGGCUGCUCAUCCCGCCCUCGCUUUUUAUCGUUCGGCUGCUGCUCCACGCCCAGCCCUUGCUCGCGCUCCACAGCUGGCUCCCUGUCCACAGCCUGGGCCUGCGGCAGCGGCAGUGCUGCUGACAAGAGUGCGGAGAGCGAACCGGCCUGUCCUGGCGGCUGCUCGCGUGGGGACGGAAGAGGCGGCUGUUGCGAGGGCUGCAGCUGCGGUUGGGGCGACAGCGGAGGUUGUGGCUGCUGCGGCUCUAGCGGCCGUGGUGGUGCCGCCGCUGGCGGUGACACCAGUGGCUGCUCGGCCGGCUGCGGCUGCGGUGGUGGCGACAUGCGUUGCACCGCAGACGGAGACCAGACGAUUGGCGUGCACCCGGUGCUGGACCGUCGCCGCAUGGUCCCUGAAGCAUCUAGGCCCUCCUGCUGCUGGUGCUGCAUUCCUCCUGCCUUGUCCUUGCCAGUUUGGCCUUGCUGCGCAGCCUGUGGGCUCCUCAAUCCAACGUCCGGCUGCAGGGCAGCCCCCGCCUGCCCCGCUGUCUUGCUGCGAUGCCUUUGGCUGUCGGUUCCACCGCGCUCUUCACGCGGCCGGGAUUCCUGCCGUUGCUCGUUCGUGUCAGGCACAGACCGCGGCGUGUUAGAAGCCGUCGGAGCAGCUGCGCCCGCCAGGUGUGGUGGGAGGAGCGACGGAGACAGCGGCCGCAGCGAUUCCUGCUGUUGCUGCAUCUGCAUCUGCUGCAGCUGGCCCUGCGCUAACGGCGGCGGCGGCGGUAGUGCCUGCUGCUGCGACUGUGGCUGGUCUCUAUCGCGGCCCGUUUCCGCAUCACGGGACGCCUGUUUGUCGCGCUCCCGCUCCCGCUCCCGCUCCUUGCUGCUGUCUUGCCGCCGAGCCAUAUCUGUCCGGUCUCGGUCGCGCUUCCCUUGACGUUCCCGAUCGCGGUCACCGUCCCGGCUGCGGUCUCGCGCUGCAGGCUUCGCUGCUGCCGCCGCCGCCGCAGCGUCCGCCGCUUUUGGCGUGCCUGUGUUAUGACCAAAAGCACCCAAAGAUGCGGGGCGAGGGGAGGGCGGCAGCUGCUGCGGAGCUGCUGCUGCUGCUGGUGCCGCCAUCGUCGGCGCUGCCGGGCUUGGUCCUGUGGCCGCUGUUAUCGCUGCCGCCGCCGCCGCUGCUGCUGAGGGCUCGCUGCCGCCAUGGCCGUCAGCCCGGUCGCUCUUGCUGGGUUCCGCUCCGCGUUCCUUGCCACGCAGCGACUGCUGCGACUCUUUGCCCUCGGCACGCUCUUGCUGCUUGCGCUUCUCCCUCUCCCUCUCCUUCUCCCUGUCCCUGUCCCUCUCGCGCUCCUUCUCUUUCCCCCGCUCUUUGUCCCUGUCCUUAUCCUUCUGCUGCUGCCGCACCUUGUCGGCAUCCAUGCCGCGCUGCCUGUCGCCACUCACGGCACGAUCCCGGUCCCGGUCCCGGUCCCGGUCCCGAUCCCGGUCCCGGUCCCGGUCCCGGUCCCCGUCGCGCUCACGCUCCCGGUCCUUUAAGCGGCCGUCGCCGUGCUCCUUGUUGGCGCUGAGGCCCUGCGCCCCAUCCCGGCGCCGGCUGCGCUCUUGCUCCGGCUUCUGCCGGCCGCCCUCGCGGUCCCGACCCCGGUCUCGGUCCCUGGUGUCGCCACGCUCCCACUCUCGCUCCCGCUUGCGCUCCCGAUCGCGGUCACGGGCCGCGUCGCAACGGCCGUCGCCGCCGCCAGCUGCGGUCGAGUCGACGGCACGCCGCCUGUCGGGUGUUGCGUCAGCUGUGGACGUGGUGGCUGCCGGCGGCCGCGUCGGUUGGGCUGCGCCGUUGUCGGGCGUUGCCGCAGGGGCAGUGCCGCUCGGCGUCGUGACAGCGCCCCUGCCGCCUGCGUCGUCGCGCUGGCUGGCGCCAUGUUGCGGCGAGCAAGGCAGCGACAGCUGUGGCGGCGGCAGACCCUGCUGCGGCUGCGGUGGCUGCAGCGGAACCGCUGCUGCAACUCCUGCCUCCCCACCAGCACUGCCCGCCUGCACCGCAGCCGCUGCUGCUGCCGCUGCCGCUGCGCCUGCCGCAGCCCCCUGGGCGGCUUGAUGCCACGCCGCCGCCUCCUGGGGCAGCGGGAAGGCCUGCACCUCGCCGGGCAGGUGCAGCAGUGCCUCGUGGCGUGCCAGCGAGGCCUGCGCGUCAUCCAGCGCCUCCUCCGCCGCCGCCGCCUGCGGCAGCCUGUCCUCGGCCACCUCCCACCUGUCCGCCACGGGCGCCCACCAGUCAUCGCCUCGGUCCAGGAGCAGCUGCUCGCCGGGCCGCAGGUCGCGGACGGCCACCAGCACCGGCAGCACCACGCCACGCACCGCAACCGGCACCACCUAGCAAAUGAAGGAGUGAGGCGGUUCCAAGGGAAACCUCAAGAAAGCUCCAAAGGGCAACGUGCAUGGCCUCGGGUUUCGGGUCACACGGCGUAUGGGCAGCUAGGGCGGAGCUGCGUGAGAACAGCCCGCAGCGCAGGGCGCUACCGCAAGACAGUCCCAGUCCGCCGUGUCACGCAAAACCGCGUCCGCCCCGUCCGCCUGCCCGCUCCCAUCCCCGCGCGCACCCACCACGCAGUUGGCCUGGCGCUCCUCCUCCGGAGGCUCCGGCAGCUCUAAAUCAUCCGUCGCGUGCCGCCGCUGCCCCGGGUCGUUCACCAGCGCCAACACGCUGCGUGCCGCCCCCAUGCUGAACAGCGUGAACUCCUGCUGCCGCGGCGCCGGCAGCUGCGAGUGCAUGCUCUGGGCGCUGUCCGGGGGUGCGGUACCUGUGCCUGCUCCGGCUGCUGCCGCGGCUGUUGCCCGGUCCGCUGCCGCGGCUGCUGCUGCUUUGGCGGCAGCCGCCGCGCCCGGCGUCUCCGUCAGCUCCGGCGGGUAGGGCAGGCGGUAGGACAGGGACAGGAAGACCCACACUCCCCCAGUCUCGCCGCGCCGCCGCAGCUCCAGCAGCAGAGGGGGGUCGCCGCUAGCUGGGCGGUGGCUGGACGCCGCGCGCGGGUGGCCCGCGUAAGCGAAAUUGUACGCGUCCUCAGAGCCGCCCGCAGUGCCCUGCGGGGCCGCACAGGUCGCGGGUGCGCGCGACAUGGAGCGAGCAGAUGCCUUACUUGCGUACAUCCCACCUUUACUUACGUAGAUCGCACCUCUGCCCGCUUCAUGACGACGCUCAAAAACCCGCCUUCUGACCCGCCAUAUUUGGGACGUCAAGGUACGCAUGCGCUCACCUGCAGCACCCAGCCAGGCAUCACACCCAAGGGGUGGAACUUCCGGACCUCCGUGGUCACGCACGCGCCCAGCCCGCCGCGCCGGGCGUCGCGGCACGCCACCACGCAGGGUAGCGUCACGGGGCCGCGCGGCAGCGGCGUGGUGGCGUCAUACAAGUCCUGUUGUGGGAGGACGAGGGUGGCCCAGGUUCGCUAAUAUUCCGUUGCAGAACCCUGUUGCAGUGGUCAAAUGUCAAUCAAGCGUCCAUAUGGACACAUUGUCCUGGCUUGUUUGGGAUCACGUUCGGGGCGUGUGCGGUGUUCCAGACUGGACAAUACGCUCGAGCGCACCUUGAGAUUCAGCAGGCUCGCAAGGCGGCGCUGAAGCACACCGGUCCUGGUGCCGCUGCUGCUGCCGCCGCCCUCGCCGCCCCGAAAUAGAGCAUGCCAAGGCCUCGGCUGCGCCGACGCUGGCAGCGCCGCCUGCUGCCCAUGGCCUUUGUCUCCCUUUCUGCUGCCUCCACCAGGCAACGGCGCGAUCUCGACUGCGGGCGUCUGCUCAUUGCCGGCGUGGCGUCGUAGCCAGUCCGCCCGCCCGGCGCGGGCGAAGGCGGCCGCCGCGGCAGCGCCACCGUCCCGCCUGACCGCAAACACGACGCCGCACAGUCGCAGCGACCCGUCGUCUUCAGCUUCCGUGGGCACCUCGCGUGCUGCUGCCUGCGGCGCGCCGCCGCCGGCCCCCGCAGCCUCCGCGGCACCAGGCAGCAGCCGCCUCCAGCGCAUCUGCUCCAGCGUGAUGGUGCCGGCGACCUGCUCCCACUGUGCAUCAGCGGCGGCGGGCGGCGUGAAGCUGGCGGGGUCGGCGCCGGCCGGCACCCAGCCGUCCGGGUCGUGCACGCAGGCGGCGGCGCCUGCCGCGCCAGCAGCCGCCGCGGUGCCGAGGCCGGGCUGCUGUAGCGGCUGGGGCUCCUGGGGCGGCUUCCGCUGCUGCUGCUGCUGCUGCUGCUGCCCUGUUGCGGCGUCGCGGGCCAGCGGCGGCGGCGAGACGCUCGGCUUGGGGCGCGCAGGCGCCACUGGAGCCGGCGGCGGCGCACGCGGCCGCGGCGGCGCGCCGUCCUUGGCCGCGGCCUCGCCUUUGCUGCCGGCAGACCUGGCGGCUGCCCCGCCGUCGGCACUCCGCGGGCUGGGGGCCUCCCGGCUGGUGGUGGCUGGCGCCGCCGGCGCUGCGGCCGCGACCCCGGGAUCCGUCACACCACGCGCCCCGUGUGCCACCGCCACGGCAGCCCGCCGCGCCAGUCCUCCCGCUGCUGCCCCGGCACGCUCCCCCUCCUGCUCAUCGUCCUCAGAGCCCUCCUCGCCCUCAUCCAAGCCCUCAUACGCGCCCUGCUCCUGCCCCGACUGCUCGUCAGCUACGGCCGCGCCCCGCGGCCAACGCCAGAGGCAGCGCACGGCGUAGUGCGGGGGGGCCCGCCGCGCCGCGCCCGCCGCCAGCGGCCGUCCGACAUUGUCGCAGGCUUCCAGGACCAACUCCUUGCCGACCGCCAAGCCCAAUCGCUUGCGCAUGUCAGCUGGAAUCGUCAUGUACAGGUUAGCCCUGCGGCUGCAUAAUUUACGCUGUGGAAUGCAGGCGGGGAAACAAGGCGGGGCGUUGGUGGGCCAGCGAGAGCCGUCGGAGCGCAUUGGACGCGCUAGCAGGUGGCGGUGAGGGUGCGGAGCAAAGUGACAGGCGUGGCGGGCGGGACGUUGGAUUCCAGACUUGGACAUGCAGGGAAUGGCGCGGCUCACCGUAAAGGUUUCCUUCGUCCGCCCAAUGUGCAGGACCACGGAGCUGCCUAUGCCCAGCCCGGCGAACCCGCCGCCCGGACAGCACCAUGCCUGGGGGAUGAUGAUGCACCUGCGCCAGCAAAUAACAACACAGAAAGGGCCGGCGCGUGUUUGCACCACCACCCCUUGAGUGACCGCAGUUGCCAGGAGCUUCGUCCCAAGCCGAGUGACGAAAGCUAUCAGCCGAUGCCUGCCAGUGUGGGAGUUCAUGUUAAUGCGCUUACCCGUCGGCGUCGGUUUUCGACAGCACCUUGCGAAGGGCUGCACCCGCCUCCGCCGCCACCGCCGCCGCAGCCCUGUCCCCGCCAUGCUGUGCCGCCGCCGCCGCCGCCGCGAGGCGCCCAGAUUGUGGCAGCGCCUCCACGAGCACCUCAUCUUCGCCGUCCAACACGGCCUCAUCCUCGGACUGCAGGACCUCAUCCUCAUCCGGCUCCUCAUCCUCGUCUUCAUCCUCGUCCGUCACCGCACCCGCGGCCCCUCUAGCGGCCGCGCCGGCAUUGCCGGCGGCUCGGCCGGACCUGCCAUGUAGUCCCGCCCCGUCGGUUCUGGUGCCCAAGACCUCCAGACAGAAGUGGCGCAGCGUCAGCGGUGCGUCGCCCGGCCGCAGCGGCCGGCCGUCCGUCCCGCACGGCGCAAGCACCAGCACGCGCCCGCGCUCCAUGCGCAAUGCAUCCUUCAGGGCCUUGCCGACACGAACGCCCAGUGCGCCCGAGAGGCCCACGUUGGCCUGCGCGUAGCGCAUGGGCCGGAAAGAGCUACUGACGGGUGGAGCGUCAAGCGUAGGCCCUAGCACAGUGUUUUGUUGCGCGUGCGGUCACGCAAGUUGUCACGUGUCAGCAUGUACACGCGGCUCGAGGGUAGUUACCCCAGGAGUCAUAGCGCUUCGCCAAAGCGCGCCGCACGUACCUGCGUGAACUCGGCAGAACCUCGCGCGUGUAGGCACAAGGCCUGCCCCCUCGUGGUACCCGCCAUGACUCCUCCCGCCUUCAGCCACGCCACAGGGAAUUUGACCUUCCUACAAAUCAGAGCAUGCCCGCACGCGUGAAGGACAUGCGUUAUCCUAGGUAUGUACAGAUCGGCAUUCCUCAUCAAGGCCCUAGAGUAAUGCAUGCUCUUGCCCGACUUGAGCCUUGUACACAGUCAAACAGCAUUACGUACUGUGCGCAGUCGGUUUUGGUGAGCUCCUUCAUGCAGGAAAUGUUGAAGGCGGGGAAUCCGCCAGCCACCGCGCCAGGCGCCGGCACACCGCCCACAGCAGGGCUAGCACCGGCAGCUGGAUUGGAUUCCGCGCGCUCCAUCCCGUCGACGCCUUGACCCUCUUGCUCCGCCUCCUUCUGCUGCUCGCCCUCCUCCGCAGCCGCCAUGUGCGCAUCCGCCUCCCCCGCAUCCGGCACUGCGGCCGGCGACCGCGCCUGCGGCCGCCGCUGCGGCUGCAGGGGCUGCUGCUGGUCCGCCCUGGGUUGCAGGAGCGCGACGCCGCCCGCGGCGAGGUCAGCCUUACGCACGCACCACACGGUGAAGUGCACGGGUGGCACGCUCCAGUCAGCUGCCAUCCGGGCCGCCGCUGCGGAGGCGUUCUCAUGCGCCUGUGCCGGCGACACGGCUGCGGCGGUGGCGGCGGCGGUCGAGGCCCAGGGGGCGGGCGGAUGCAGGCAGCGCGCAAAGACGAGUGCGUCGCCGACCGUCGGCUUGUAGUGAUCCAACAUGGCUUUGGUGUCGUGCAGGCGCUGAGCGCUGUUGCCGUUGCCGCGCACGCGCAUCUGCGGGUGUAGGUGCACACAUGCAGCGUUGGCGCGACGUCAAAGCACCGGCCUGAAGACGGCCCCAACGGCCAGCGCCAAUUCCACGCGGCAUGCAGCAGGUGCGGAAAACGCGCGGAAAAAGCAGCACGCGUGUGGUAUUCGAGCCACGGUGCGAUGCCGGGGCGAUGCCUUUAAACUCCCGGUUCCCCACACACGAUUCCUCCUUGCAGCUGAACCUACAACCACUGCCAAAACCUACCGCCCAGCUCCCGCCGCCUGCGCCGUCGUGCAGGAUCACAGGCCCGCAGAAGGGGUGUUCCCCGUUAUCGGCGUGUAGGCCGUGGAAGACUCCGUCCUCGCCAGUCAUGGCUGACGUAAAGCAGAUGGGCCCGCCCUUGACACUGUCCACCUCCGAGUUCGACAGCUGCUUGCUACAGAGCCUGUCCAGACUGGCUCCUGCGCCGCCGCCGCGUCCGCCACCACCCAUGAGGAGCGGCGGCGGCUGAGGCAGAGCCCGCGGCCGAGAUCGAGGCGUCGGGCUGACCGACCCGGCCGGCCCCUGCGGCGUGGCUUGAAGCUGGAGCGGCGCCGGCUUCGAGCGAAUGGCGCGCUCUUCGGAUAAAUCUGGGGUCGUCUGCGGCGGCGGCGGCGGCGGCCUACGCGGCACGGCGGCGCGGGCGGCGGCUGUGCCUUCUUCAGCUCCCUUGGAGUCUGAGGGUGACGGUCUCGCCGCGACCUUUUCCAAAGUGGGCUUCCGUAGGGCCGGCGACGCGCCCUCGGCUGCAGGCGCCGCCGCCGCCACGACAGCCCCGGCAGAGCCGCUGGGUACACGGCCCUGCUGCCGCUCCCACUGCGAGCCCGACGCCUCCUCGCCCUCCUCCUCCCCGCCGUCUCGAGACGCCCGAGACCCCUGCGCCCCCGCGCCCGCGUCGCCAGGAGCCGCCGAAGUCGGGCCCCGCCCUCCGCUGGUGGUGAUCACAGCGCCCACGGUCUCGCCACUGUAGCGGUCGCCGCCACCACCCGCGCUCCCAGGCGCAGCGACUGAGCGGGCCCCGCCGCCACCGCCGCCCAAGCCGCCCAGCCCACCAACGUUGCCGCUGCUGCCAACCUGUGCAAGGCCCGACAGCUCCGCCAGCGGCGGCGGCGCCGCCGGCGCCGCGCCAAAUCCCAACGCAGGGUGCCGGCUGCCUUGCUCUGCGCCUCCGAGCCCAGCAGCCCCUGCUACCGCGCCCGCAUGCACGCAAACGCCGGCGCUGCCGCCCGCGCCCGCGCCCGCCGCUGCUGCGUCCGCCUCCUCGCCAGCGGGCCUGAGCAGUGCGACAAUCUCGUACGGCCGCGCCGGCCUGGGCGGGUCCGCAGGCCCGGAGGCGCAGCUGCCGUUGGCUCGCAGCAGUGUGUAGCGGCCCCGCGGCACGCCCUCCACCGGCUCCCUGAUGAGUUGCAGGCCUGCCGCCUCGGGCGUGGUCGGGUCCAGAACGCCGCCGUCCGCCGUCAGCCACCUCGAGGGGCCGUUCAGGCGGAUGCGCCACGCCGCGUCCUUGCCCUUGCCCUUCGCCUUGCCGCCCGCGCCCCUGCCGGCCGCUGCCGCCCCGGCCGGGGCACCUGCGGCGGCGGCGGCGGCGCCGCCGCCCGUGACCUCUUGCAGCGGGCGCAGUGUGUCCGCAGCGCUCAAGCCGAGGACCGUGAAGAGCACUGCGCCGGCCCCGUCGCCGUCCGACACAGGCACCAUGUCUUGAGCUCCGGCGCCCGCGCCGCUGUCCAGCACCAGCGGCCCCAGCUCGGCGACGCAGGUGAGGCCCGCGGCGCGCAGGUCUGCCGGCUUCAGGGCCAGCAGCUUGCGACGCGGCGCGGCAGGGUCGCGCGACGGCAAGACGGUGACUGUGAAGUGAAUGGUAAAGGCCCGGACGCAGUGGCCCGCACGCAGGGCGUCCAGCUGGUUCCCGUCAUGCGGCGGUUGGCCUGCAGUCGCUGGCUGGGGGGCUGUCGCGGCUGCGGCUGCGGCUGCGGCUGCCCCCACCGCCGGUUGGGUUGCUGCCGCCACCAGGGUGGCUUCUGCUGCGUCUGCUGGUGCCGCUGCGGUGGCAGUUGGCGCCGCUGCAGGGUCGGACCCCGCGGCGGGUGCAGUCGCCGCAGCGGGCUCCCCGCCAGCGUCCGCCAUGUGAGCCUCCACCAAUGCCUGCUGUGCCUGCGGCGCAGCUAUGGGCGCUGUAGCUGCGGGGCUGGGUGCUGUCGCAACCGCAGCUGCCACCUGUGGCGGCGCGGCAGAGGGCAGGACCUCCACCGCAGCGCUGCCGGCGGGCGGCGGCGCUGCCUCUGGCCCCAUCGCGGCCAGCAGCACGGUUUGCAGGGACGGCGGCGAGACGGCGAAUGCAGACGCAGCCGGUUGCUUAGGCCCCGGCGCAGGCUGGAGCCCGCAGCCGCUCGCAUGCACAGCGGCAGUCGCGGCCUCGGGAGCCGCCGCAGGAGGGGCUACAGCUGCGACCGCGGCUGGCACCGGCUGCACCUCGUGCGAGCCAGCCUCGGCACCAGCUGUGCCACCGCCCGCGGCGGCGCCAACAUUUGCAGCAGCCGGGGCGGUGUCUGACCCCAGCGCAGGACCGCCCCCUACUACGCCUGCCCGUGGUGUUCCUGCAUCCGCCGCCGCCCCAACCGCCGCGCCCACGUCACUUAAUCCGACCACCUGGACUGGCAGCUGCUGCUGGGGCUGCUGCGUGGGCUGGUCACGUGGCUCCGACUGUUGGCCCGCCGAUGGCUCCACUGGCGACCCAGCCGCACCUGCAGCGACACCGGUGCUUACAGUCUUGGCAGGCGACAACGCAGCCGCCUCUGGCACCGGUGCCUGCCGCGGGAUUGCGAAUUUGUUCUUGCGGUGGCGGCGGAGCAGCGCCAGGGAGCUCACAUUGGCGAAGUCCACCGCCGGGGCUGCAGCUGAAGGCGCAGCCGUAGGAGGAGCUGUAGGUGCAGCUGAAGGUGCAGCUGUAGGUGCAGCUGUAGGUGCAACUGGCAUUUGGCGUGAGAGGUGUAAGAGAAGGCGGGGGCCACAGAGGGUAAGGAGAGGUAUGGCAUCUGCAGCCUCAUUGUAGCGGUAGCAGGCAGCUUUAACGACUUACGAGCGGUUCCCGCCGGAUUUCCACAGCUCCCCUUCGCUCCACCCUCAGCCGAUUGAGAGUCCGCAGGCUGUACAUCCAUGGUCAACUCGUUGUAUUCCAAAGCUCAAGGCAUGGCACCUCGCUUGCGCAACUCUCCCGACAAUGGCGCACUCCCCGGCGAGCCGUUCCGCCGCAUCAUAGCAACUAUGGAGUACAUGCAAUAUUUAGGCAUGCGUUUGCAUCGCUAAUUGCAAUAGGCACGUCUUGCCGAGGCAAGCCUAUACACGGCGGAUAUUUCUUUCGAGGGCGAACCUAGCCAGGCGUGGAGUACGUUGGUUUGAAUGUUGUUUGCGUAGAAAACUCCAGAUGUGGCUACGGAGUUGCGGAAGGGAUGAAUUUCUGCUGAACCCCAUUCCAGGCCCAGCCCUGGCCCUGAUAGCCCCGACCGCUCCCGGGGGACUGUUUGCAGGCUUGCCGUUAUCUUACAAGGUACCAGACUUCCUGCCAACAACGUCAGAUACCGAGAAGGUUGCAGGUCUGGGCGUUAAGCCCAGGAAUAUCGGCAUGCCAUUUCGUAACCAGCACUUUCUGGCAACCCGGUGCACACAACCUCCUCUGUCUCUGCUUCUCCGGUCAGGCCGCUCAAGCGGUCACUUGCUCAUGUGGAUAUGUGCACUUCAUUGAGUGCGCGCCUGCAUUGGGAUGCAGAUUCAACUGUAGAACCUCUGCCAGGGGAGUGGCACUCCCCUGACCUCUGCCCCUUGCGCUUACUCAAUACGAUUCCAUCGACUAGAGGCUGUUGCCACACGUCGUACUGCUCAUACAGGCCUCACGCGUUUUACUAAGCUAGCAUGAACGUCAAUGGGGGGGGCUGUGCGCGUUCAGGGGUACACGGUGGACGUUCGGGACAGUCGUUGCGGAUGGGCGGGAGAGGACAGUUCGUGCGGGAUCUGUGCGGCAGGCACGGUAAUUGAUGGGGGCGCCUGAAAAGACAGAUGAGCCAGUGCGGACCGGGGGAGGGAGCGAUUGGACUUGCUGUUCGCGCGACUGAAGAUGGAGGGAUGGGCGAAACAGGGGAAAUCGGUAACGGUAGUGGAGGGUCGGAGAACUUGGUUGGGCGGGGAAAGUAGUGGGAGGAGUGGGAAAAGUGUCUGUGUGUUCGUGGGGCGGCGGGAACGUGGCCCGCCGAGACUGCGCAAGUUCAGAAAAGACAGAAUGGAAGGUUCCAGACGAGGCCCGUGCUCAUGACGGCUUUUAUACGAGCUUUUAGCACACGUCCAUCACAUCUAUAUUGCCCAGGGGGCGACUGCGUUGCAAUCUCAGCACACAGCAUGCCAAGUUAUUGCACGCUCGUCCCAUGACAACUACAUCAGCGGGCAGACGUGAUCAAGGACUGGGCGCCAAAUUAAAUCACGUCAACACUCCGUAUACGUUGUUUUUACCCGCCGUUUCCUACGGAGAAAGCACGCAGAUACGGUCAAUUCAAUCUGGAAGCUCACACUUGGCGGUACAAACGUCUAAGUCUGCACACGCACGUCAGGCUGCGGUCACGCCUGAAUGCAUGAACAUGUAACACAUUUCACCUUGCUUUUAUAUCAUGGCUAUUCACGUGCCAACCUGCUGGGAGUUUCUGUCUCCAUCAACCUGCACUUCAAGCCAUAGUGUCGCUCCUGCAUCACGUUCCUACAGGCCACGCCGCGCGUGGCCAACACGCCAGCACACGCCGGGUUCUGCGCGGACCCGGCCGUGGACCGCACACACCCCCGCCGCAUUCACGGUGCCACGAGGCCGCACCCCACGUAGCAUACCGCAACACAUCACAGGUUCUUGGUGCUGAUGUAGUAGGGGCAGACCGCAAUGCUGAAGACGUUGCCUGCGGAUCGGCAGCAGUCCAGAGAAUGGAUACCAGUCACCACCGUAAUCCACACGCGUAACCCAGUUGCUACAGCCAUACGUAUCUAGAGGCAGGGUAUAUAUGUUUGUAUGUGCGGUUGUACGUUGUAUGUGCGCGCGUGCAGCGUGCGGACCUCCCCUCCUCAAUCUGCACGUAGACAGUGCCGGCCACACAGCCACUCCCCCGGUCCGAUGCACGCCGCUGUCACGUCCGAUGAAACGUCACGCCACGUUCCACCCACCCUGCCGUUGAGACUAUUCCAUUCGUAUGGGCUCUGGCUUGUAAUGUGCCUACCCACCCACCCACCCACCCACCCACCCACCCACCCACCCAGUCCUCCCACCACGCCCACGCCCACCUGUGAUGUGCUCCAGGCGCCACAUGCGCUCCCGCGCCCGCCGCCGCAGCACCACCACGUCGUACAGGUCGUCCAGCAUCUGGUGGUGGGCGGGUGGGGCGGGGGGCGGGCCGGGGUCAGUCGAGUGGCCGUGGGGCCUUCACGACUACGGACAAAGCACCGGAGCCGGUAAUUUCGCAUGACCAACCCUUUUCACCCACUGGGUAGCCGAGGUCAGCGCCUAACCAUACAUACAUAUACACACCCACCCACCCACCCACCCACCCACCCACCCACCCACCCACCCACCCACACCCACACCCACACCCACACCCACACCCACACCCACACCCACACCCACACCCACACCCACACCCACACCCACACCCACACCCACACCCACACCCACACCCACACCCACACCCACACCCACACCCACACACACACCCACACACACACACACACACACACACACACACACACACACACACGCACACACACCACCAUCAUGCCGCGCAUGGGCUGGAAGCUCUCUGGCUCUGAGACCCUCAAAGUCCCCCUAGCGAAGCUGUCCGUCCGCAUGGCCACAUCCAUGCAGCUGGACGAUGUGGCCACGCGGCGGGCGGACCUACACGAGGAUUAUGAGCGCGCGGCACAGGGCCUCCCGCCGCGCGCUGUGGUGCGGCGGGAGGACCUGCCAGCAGCUGCGGCUGCAACGCUUGGCGCCAUUAGGGACACCCUGGCGCGCCUUUGGCAGAAGGUGUGGUGGGAACGGCGACACUUUGAGACGCUGUGGCGGUUGGCCAUCGACGCAGUGCCGCUGCCGGGAAACUCGCAUAUGCCGUUGGCUCGCCGUGAGCCAUGCGGCUGUGGGCAACACGGCCAUGGGGGCGCCGCGGUGGAGACACACGCCGCCGCCGCGCCCACGCCACGGCAGCACCACUUCUGGGAUUGCGCGGUGGCGAAGGCCGUGGUGGCGCAGAUCAACGCACACAACCCCGGUCCGGCUCCCAUCAGCCAAGCCCAGCUGUGGCUGGUUCAGGCGCCGCCGGGUUUUCAGCAGUGUGUUUGGGACGUGGUGGUGAUGGCGGCGCUGGCCGCCACAGAACAUGGCCGGGUGCGGCUGCGCGGGAUGACGCGCGCCGCAGCGGCCCUGGGAAUUCAGACGGCGGCGGCAGCAGCUCCCGAGGCUGCGGUGGCAGGUGCAGCGGAGGCGGAACCCGAUCUUGACGAGAUCCCGCCCACACAGCUGACGCCGCCGCAGCCAGGCGUCAACCCCGUCGAGCUUGCGUGCGCUCGUGCAGUCGCGGACUUCUGGUCGCGGCUGAUGCAGUUUGCGCAGCUCGGCGUGCCCCAAAAGGGCUGGGAUGGUGUUGACGCCACUCACCCCAUCCUGGCGGUGGUGAACGGUGAAAUGCUGUGCGCGAUGCCGCAAGCUAUGGAGCUGGAGGCUUGAAAGGGAUCAGCCCUUAGGAGAAGCGCGUGAGCACUAACAUGAGCCACUGAAGCAGUGGCAUACGAGAGGGUCAGCGGGGGAGCUUAGUGGGCAGGCGAAGGGUUUUUUUUGUUUUACGCCCGUGGGAGCAGGGCCAGGUUUGCGGGGUUUUUAUGCCUGAGAGGGUGUAUUGGGUGCUGCAACACCCCGGGUCUUACGGCCUGGACCGGCCUAGUGGCCAGACGCGUUUGUGGCUGCCCUUAGGCAUUGUCUGCCCUGGCGUCGAGAGCUGGUUAGGUUGCGGUUGAGGUCGUGCAGGCUGCCGGGUCGUAGGACUCAGCCCCGCAGCCACUGUGGUCGUGCUUUCGCGUGCUGUCACGUGCUGAGUGUUUUGUUUUGUUUGCUGUUUUUGUCUGCCCGCCUGGUUUUAUUAAGAGGUAGCUCGCCCGCUGGGUCUGAGGUUGUUACACCGGUAGUAAUUCCGCAAGGAUUACUGGCGCGGUGAAGGGUCGGAGUGCGUUGCCCUGUGGACUCCAGAGCUGUUUUGCGCUCUGCCGGGGAAACGCCAGGUCACGGCAGCCCUCGAUUGAGAGCCCUGUCGUUGGUUAUACCAGAUACACGAUUCACGUGAUCUGGCAGAAUAACCGUGGAAACCGUAGUCACACACACACACACACACACACACACACACACACACACACACACACACACACACACACACACACACACACACACACACACACACACACACACACACACACACACACACACACACACACACACACACACACACACACACACACACACACACACACACACACACACACACACACACACAGAGAGAUACACACACACAGAGAGAUACACACACACACAGCACAACGUGACCGCAGCCCGAGUCCCGCACAUCCAACACCUGCAACUUUCACCCGGCCCCCUGGGUCCCCUCGCCCCAGCGCCUCACCUCGCGGUUGAGCGCGAAGUGUGUGUGGCGCAUAGCGUUGACGAUGGAGGCCAGGAAGGACAGGUCGAUCACGUCCAGGUCCAGCGGCACGCGCGUCACCGGGUCCGUGAUCUGGUACACGCGCCUGCCCUGCAUGUGUAUGCCACACGUGCCGGUGCAUGUGUUCGCGAGCACAGGCAUGGCAUGGGGUGUUAGAAGAGCACAAGAAAGGGGCGACAUCGUGCUGUACACGUGUGUGGGUGCACGCGAGUGGAAGUACAGUCGAACCACCUGAGGAAGUGUGGCAGGAUCGGCCAGGCGCAGUGGCCUUGAACACAGGGGUCAGUGUCGCACAGCCAUCGCGCAGUCCCUCCCACCCCCGCCUGUGACACACGCGCCGCCACCCACCAGGCUCUUCUCCAACCAACCGUACAACACGGGCUUGCGCAGGCGGCGGCGGUAAUGCACCACCCGCUCGCACCACCACGCCAGCUCCUUCGCUCCCUCCUCUUCUUCUUCCUCCUCCUCCUGCUGCCCAUGCCCCUCUCCAUGCCCGGCAGCCGGCGCCGCCGCCUCCACGUCAGCUAAGAAAGCUGCGACAGCCUUGCGCGCCGCUGGGCGCAGGCGCUGCAGCCGCGAGUCAAACAUCGUCAUCAAAAAGUAGUAUAGACAACGCACGCUGCAUAUCGGGAAGUGCGAAAGCGGCAAAGCGCGCAGCAAAACUGCACGCGUCCAGAACUGCGGUUGCGAAGGCCAUUGCCUCUGAGUCCGUGCUGGCUGGAUGUUUUCGUUUGUUAGGGCAGCAGCAUGCUCGCCAUCAAGAAGAGUGUAGAGUGAGCAGCGGGCCCCUUGCAGACCAAUGGGGUUUUAAACAUUGAUGCCAAAAUUUCACAACCAGAUCAAACUGUGAUUGCAACAGCGCGUUCUUACACUGUAAUCGUUCAGCAAUCGAAAUACACGCGUGUUGCCCUGAGCGGCAUCGCCGCGCGCAAAAUAGUAGUCUCUUUUGGCGCGCUCCGACAACUGGGGCGCCCGCUCUCGCCAGCGCUCUCGCCGUGUUAGCCUGCAAUCCAAUUGAAAUGAUGCAUUGCUCUCCCGACCAUUUCUAAUGCUGUGACCGGAUGCAUCAUCGUGGUUCCUCCGCUCACGCACUCCGCAUAGCAACACUCUGCCUGCCUUUGACUGGAACCCGCGCCCUGGCAACCGUCAAACGUAGAGCAGGUACAGACCACCCUCGCCAGCGCCCAACGGACUGUCAAAUUUCAUCCAGUCAUAGCAACUGCCCUGCCGUCAGCAUUCUUGCCCGCAUGAAAUUUACAUACCAUACAGUACCGUAAUGGGACACGCGCACUUAUCUUACAAGUUACAACUAUUCCCAGACCCCGCACCGGCGGUGGCAUGCCGCCCGCAAAUCCCUCGCCAACGCCCAGCCCCGCGUUGCCAGCUGCCGCCGCAGCAUGUGCACGCCGCCGCCGCUGGGGCCACCGCCGAGGCCGCCGCCUUAGCGGGCGCUGCCGCUGCCGCCCGCCGGAGCGCUGCCGGCAGGGAAGCGCCAGCCCAACGGCGUCGCCGCCAGCCGCGCCGCGCGCCACUCCAUGAAGCUCCUGGGCGCGUUGGGGUUGGGCCCGGGCCCGCCCGGCUCCGAGUCGGGGUCGAAGAUGUUGCUUCGCAGCCGGAUCCUUUUCAUCCGCCGCAGAAUUAGCUCCUCGCACCCCAUGUCAGGAAGGUAGUGAAGCCGCCCGCCCACUACCUCGUCCAGCGGCGGAAGCUGGUGGCGGUACGGAUCACUGCGGUCGGCAGCAGUCGCACGGCGGCAGGGAGGGGCAGGGGUGGCGGCAGGGGUGGGGGCAGGGGGAGGGGUAGGGAGGGGGUGUUGGACAGAAGCCACGUGGGUAACAGUGAAGGGACAUGCAGACGGUCGGGGCUGGGAAGGAUGGGCACGGUUGCCUGCCAUGCAUGGGCGCGUGACCAAGUAAGCUGAAUUACAAGGUAUCCCCAAACCAGACAUAACCAAGCAAAGGAGCCCUUUCGGUUUACCUGAAUGGCUCGUAGCGCCCAGAGCUGCAAUCACCGCCGCCGCCGCCUAGCCUGCUGUUGGCGGCGCCGCUGCCGGCUGCUGCUGAUGCCGGUGACUCCUUGGCCGGCACGUCACGGCCGGGCCCGCUGCCUGCCGCGCGCCGUGCCUCUCGGCCCUGAGCACCUGCGGCCUCCUCCGCGAGUGGCACGGCAUCGGCCGCACCGCCUGCUGGUGCCGCUGCCGCUGCCGCUGCCGCUGUGGCUGUGGCUGAUGCACCUGCGGUGCUCGAGUGAGUGCGGAGGUCCUCCCACUCAGCCGUCGCGGUCGCGGCACCACCAUGACCGUCACCGUCGCCCCAGCCGCCCGAUGCUUCAGCCGCAGUCGCGGCGGAGGGCUCCGCGCCGCCGGCUUGGUGUGGCUCGGGCGCGUCAGCCGCAGCGGCGCCCUUCCCACCCGCCGUGCCACGCACUUGCGCGGAUGUCGCUGCAGCGGCCACGUCUGAUGUGCCUGCGCUGCUCCGGUACACGGAGCCCCCGACCCAGCCUACCGGACCCACCGCGUCACCGCGAGCUUCCGCUUGGGCCUCAGGUGCCAUGCCUGCCCCGUCCCCCUCGCCGCCACCGCCAGCACACCGGCCGCCCUCUGCUUCGGCGCGGCGGCGCUUGCCCGACUCCGGGCUUGACCCCGCUGCCCGCUCGCCAUCCUGCGCCUGGCUUCCUGACUGGCCAGGACUGCGCCCCCGCGGGCCAGGCUCCGGGUCCCGCUCGCGCCCCUGGCCUCGGUCCCGGCCUCGGUCUGAAGCCUUGCCGCUGCUGCGGCCCGGAUCCCGCUUUGGCUCCGGCCCUGGCUUCGGCUCGUUGCCGCUGCCGCCGCCGCGCGCUCGCCCCUCCAGGUCAUGCUGCCGCUCCUGCUCGCCCUCGCGCCGGCGCUUCUGCCCCCGGUCGCUAUCACGCUCCCGCUCUCGCUCCUGCUCCCGGCCGCGUGUAGACUCCUUCUCGUCAUGCUUGCGUUGCUGGUCAUGCUCGCGCUCACUGCC
Molecule: long non-coding RNA, 18034 nt
Filed under: Chlamydomonas reinhardtii
Lineage: Eukaryota; Viridiplantae; Chlorophyta; Chlorophyceae; Chlamydomonadales; Chlamydomonadaceae
Description: long non-coding RNA (CREI_LNC001288)
Source: RNAcentral